Molecule: transfer RNA, 76 nt
Filed under: Enterobacter cloacae
Lineage: Bacteria; Pseudomonadati; Pseudomonadota; Gammaproteobacteria; Enterobacterales; Enterobacteriaceae
Description: tRNA-Ala
Rfam family: tRNA
About the family: Transfer RNA (tRNA) molecules are approximately 80 nucleotides in length. Their secondary structure includes four short double-helical elements and three loops (D, anti-codon, and T loops). Further hydrogen bonds mediate the characteristic L-shaped molecular structure. tRNAs have two regions of fundamental functional importance: the anti-codon, which is responsible for specific mRNA codon recognition, and the 3' end, to which the tRNAs corresponding amino acid is attached (by aminoacyl-tRNA synthetases). tRNAs cope with the degeneracy of the genetic code in two manners: having more than one tRNA (with a specific anti-codon) for a particular amino acid; and 'wobble' base-pairing, i.e. permitting non-standard base-pairing at the 3rd anti-codon position.
Source: RNAcentral
GGAGCGGAGUUCAGUCGGGUAGAAUACCUGCCUGGCACGCAGGGGGUCGCGGGGUCGAGGCCCGUCCGUUCCGCCA